GACAGAUUUUCUGUCAGAGCUGGGUCUGCAAAAGGAGGAGGAAGAACAUAGUUCCUGGGACUCUGAGUCACACUCUGAAAACCCCGAUAUGCUAGAAGAAAAACCAAACAUGGCCACGCAGAAGGAGGAAGAGGAAGAGGGGGGGUCUGCUGCUCAACAAG
Cynoglossus semilaevis (tongue sole) is the source of this 161-nucleotide long non-coding RNA. RefSeq lists it as uncharacterized. The transcript is spliced from 2 exons. The record is from RefSeq and is a predicted model, not a curated record. Lineage: Eukaryota; Metazoa; Chordata; Actinopteri; Pleuronectiformes; Cynoglossidae.